This 465-nucleotide ribosomal RNA is filed under the name uncultured bacterium. Its description in RNAcentral is "partial 16S ribosomal RNA". It matches the Rfam family "Bacterial small subunit ribosomal RNA", at positions 28 to 507 of the family's 1533-position model. The record is from RNAcentral.
GAUGAGCGCUGGCGGCGUGCUUAACACAUGCAAGUCGAACGGAAAGGCCCAAACUUGCUUGGGUACUCGAGUGGCGAACGGGUGAGUAACACGUGGGUGAUCUGCCCUGCACUUCGGGAUAAGCCUGGGAAACUGGGUCUAAUACCGGAUAGGACCACAUUUUGGAUGGUGUGGUGGAAAGUUUUUCGGUGUGGGAUGAGCUCGCGGCCUAUCAGCUUGUUGGUGGGGUAAUGGCCUACCAAGGCGUCGACGGGUAGCCGGCCUGAGAGGGUGUACGGCCACAUUGGGACUGAGAUACGGCCCAGACUCCUACGGGAGGCAGCAGUGGGGAAUAUUGCACAAUGGGCGCAAGCCUGAUGCAGCGACGCCGCGUGGGGGAUGACGGCCUUCGGGUUGUAAACUCCUUUCGCUAGGGACGAAGCGCAAGUGACGGUACCUGGAGAAGAAGCACCGGCUAACUACGUG